AUGACAACAGUGGAUCUGAAAAAUUUUGGGUACACUGACGAACCGUUCGUCCUAGCCAAUGAUGUGGCACAGGUUAUCUAUGUGAAGGACAUGUCUACCAGACCGAGAAAAAGAAAAGAUAAGGAAGUGAAUACAUCAUACGAUGAGCCAAAGCGCCACAUAGUUCUUUCAGGAAAAAGGGACAUCGUGGGACUGGGUGGCAAGACAGACAUGUCUGAAGAUUAUGAAAAGUUUCAUGAAAUUCCUCCCUUCAAAGUCAAGGCUGACCCCAGCAUCCUGAUAAACGAUGAAGAUUAUCCAUGGUUACGGCGCAUUAAGCAAAUGACACAAGCGAAGAAAAAGUGA
RNAcentral lists this ribosomal RNA (345 nucleotides) under Triticum aestivum (bread wheat). Its description in RNAcentral is "partial small subunit ribosomal RNA". Lineage: Eukaryota; Viridiplantae; Streptophyta; Magnoliopsida; Poales; Poaceae. The record is from RNAcentral.